Molecule: ribosomal RNA, 440 nt
Filed under: uncultured bacterium
Lineage: Bacteria
Description: partial 16S ribosomal RNA
Rfam family: Bacterial small subunit ribosomal RNA
Source: RNAcentral
CCUCGGGGUGCUGCAGUCGAGAAUCAUUCACAAUGGGGGAAACCCUGAUGCAGCAACGCCGCGUGAGUGAGGAAGUAUUUCGGUAUGUAAAGCUCUAUCAGCAGGGGAUAUAAAAGAAGGUACCUGAACAAGAAGCUCCGGCUAACUACGUGCCAGCAGCCGCGGUAAUACGUAGGGGGCCAGCGUUAUCCGGAUUUACUGGGGUUAAAGGGAGCGUAGAGGGAAAGGCAAGUCAGAAGUGAAAGCCUAAGGCUCAACCAUGGGAUUGCAUUUGAAACUGUAAAACUAGAGUACGGGAGAGGUAAGAGGAAUUCGUAGUGUAGCGGUGAAAUGCGUAGAUAUUAGGAGGAACACCGGUGGCGAAGGCGUCUUACUGGACCGAAACUGACGUUGAGGCUCGAAAGCGUGGGGAGCAAACAGGAGUAGAUACCCGAGUAGUC